This 2772-nucleotide long non-coding RNA is filed under the name Betta splendens (Siamese fighting fish). RNAcentral's name for it is "lncRNA (ENSBSLG00000009615.1)". The record is from RNAcentral. Lineage: Eukaryota; Metazoa; Chordata; Actinopteri; Anabantiformes; Osphronemidae.
AUGGUUUCGGUUUCAUCCUCUCCGCCUCGUCGGAUCGUCGUGCCUGCACCAACCUGCCCAGCUCCAUGGUUAUUUCCCUGGGAGGAUUUCCUGCUCUCACGCGCUGCUCAGUCUCCAAGUCAGCCGCGCGCUGCUCAGUCUCCAAGUCAGCCGCGCGCUGCUCAGUUUCCAGUUCAGCCGCGCGCUGCUCAGUCUCCAGAUCAGCCGCGCGCUGCUCAGUCUCCAGUUCAGCCGCGCGCUGUUCAAUCUCCAGCUCAAUCGUGCUUUGCCCAGUCUCCAGCUCAAUCGUGUUUUGCCCAGUCUCCUGCUCAAUCGUGUUUUCCCCAGUCUCCAGCCCAAGCUCCAGACGCCGCGGUCCCGUUUCACCAUGCGGAUCCCGGUACAGAGGUCCGGUCCACACCGCGCCCAGCGCCUCAAACGACGGACAGUCGCAGCUGCUCCGGACGGCGACGGCGGCGGCGCGGGUCCAGGAUCCCGGGUCCCGCGGUCUCGGUCAUGGGGGCCGAGCAGCCUUCUUCCCCGACAGAGGAGCCCCUUAAUUCUCUGACUGACUGUGUCCCUCUGAUAACAGGCAUCCCAGACAGCGUCGCCCGACGGGUCCACCUCCUCUGCUCUCCUCCAGUUGCCUUUCUCUUCGCCCACCUCAUGAACACCGCCAAUUCGGCUACAGACCAGGGCGCGAGAGAACAACUGUUCGAGGAAGCAGCCGCUCUCGUCCGGAGGGAGCCUGUCCUGCGUGAGGCCCUGCAACUCCCGGGCCUGCAGCCAGCGGUCGCUUCAUGCCCCACCUCUCAGUCAGGUCAGCCGUGUGUUACUCAUGCCCCGGUGCAGCCCUGUCGUCUCCAGGUCCCAGCCCAGUCGAACCUAGUCCAGACCCCAGAUCAGCCGUGUGUUGCCCAGACCCCAGAUCAGCCGUGUGUUGCCCAGACCCCAGAUCAGCCGUGUGUUGCCCAGACCCCAGAUCAGCCGUGUGUUGCCCAGACCCCAGAUCAGUCGUGUGUUGCCCUGACCCCAGUUCCGUCCUUGUCCCCGUCAGAGGGCGCCGUCCGUCUGACGACUGUUAACCCCACCCAAUCAGGCCCGACGUCUCCCCCGUCGAGCUCGGCAGCUGUAAGCUGUCAUGCCAGCUCCGGAGGGGACGCCGUUCCAGUCCCUGUCGGCCAUGUUGCGGCCGUUCCAGUCCCUGUCGGCCAUGUUGCGGCCGUUCUAGUUCCUGUCGGCUCCUCAGAGGAGGACGCCGUUCUAGUUCCUGUCGGCUCCUCAGAGGAGGACUCCGUUCCUGUUCCCGUCGGCCAUAUUGAGGCCGUUCUAGUUCCAGUUCCUGUCGGCUCCUCAGAGGAGGACGCCGUUCUAGUUCCUGUCGGCCAAGCAGAGGCCGUUCCAGUUCCUGUCGGCCAUGUUGAGGUCGUUCCAGUUCCUGCCGGCCAUGUUGCGGUCGUUCCAGUUCCUGUCGGCCAUGUUGAGGUCGUUCCAGUUCCUGUCGGCCAUGUUGAGGUCGUUCCAGUUCUUGUCGACCAAGUUGAGGUCGUUCCAGUUCCUGUUCCUGUCGGCCAUGUUGAGGUCGUUCCAGUUCCUGUCCCUGUCGACCAAGUUGAGGUCGUUCCAGUUCCUGUUCCUGUCGGCCAUGUUGAGGUCGUUCCAGUUCCUGUCCCUGUCGACCAAGUUGAGGUCGUUCCAGUUCCUGUUCCUGUCGGCCAUGUUGAGGUCGUUCCAGUUCCUGUCCCUGUCGACCAUGUUGAGGUCGUUCCAGUUCCUGUCCCUGUCGACCAAGUUGAGGUCGUUCCAGUUCCUGUCCCUGUCGACCAAGUUGAGGUCGUUCCAGUUCCUGUCCCUGUCGACCAAGUUGAGGUCGUUCCAGCUCCUGUCCCUGUCGACCAAGUAGAGGGCGUUCCCGUAGGCCAAGUAGAGGGCGUUCCCGUAGGCCAAGUAGAGGGCGUUCCCGUAGGCCAAGUAGAGGGCGUUCCCGUAGGCCAAGUAGAGGGCGUUCCCGUAGGCCAAGUAGAGGGCGUUCCCGUAGGCCAAGUAGAGGGCGUUCCCGUAGGCCAAGUAGAGGUCACCCCUGUCUCUGACCCCGUUCCUGUCGGCCCUGUAGCAGUCGUUCCAUUCCCCGUUCCCGUCGGCCCUGUAGCGGUCGUUCCAGUCCCCGUCACCCUUGGAGCCGCAGCGCCCGCCGGCCUCCAGGAGGAGGCAGCACCUGCAGUUCCUGCGCACCUCCAGGAGGAGGUCGCGCCAGUCGCAGUUCCUGCGCACCUCCAGGAGGAGGUCGCGCUAGCCGCAGUUCCUGCGCACCCCCAGGAGGAGGUCGCGCUAGUCGCAGUUCCUGCGCACCUCCAGGAGGAGGUCGCGCUAGUCGCAGUUCCUGCGCACCUCCAGGAGGAGGUCGCGCCAGCUACAGCUCCUGCGCACCUCCAGGAGGAGGUCGCGCCAGCCGCAGUUCCUGCGCACCUCCAGGAGGAGGUCGCGCUAGUCGCAGUUCCUGCGCACCUCCAGGAGGAGGUCGCGCUAGUCGCAGUUCCUGCGCACCUCCAGGAGGAGGUUGCGCCAGUCGCAGUUCCUGCGCACCUCCAGGAGGAGGUUGCGCCAGUCGCAGUUCCUGCGCACCUCCAGGAGGAGGUUGCGCCAGUCGCAGUUCCUGCGCACCUCCAGGAGGAGGUUGCGCCAGUCGCAGUUCCUGCGCACCUCCAGGAGGAGGUUGCGCCAGCCGCAGUUCCUGCGCACCUCCAGGAGGAGGUUGCGCCAGCCGCAGUUCCUGCGCACCUCCAGGAGGAGGUU